Molecule: RNA transcript, 2799 nt
Organism: Oncorhynchus tshawytscha (Chinook salmon)
Lineage: Eukaryota; Metazoa; Chordata; Actinopteri; Salmoniformes; Salmonidae
Gene name: cytochrome P450 26B1-like
Exons: 8
Source: RefSeq, a predicted model, not a curated record
UAUAUAAACACACACUGAGAGCGACUGUAUGCGCUACUCACACACCGAGAGAAGUGUAUGAGAGGGAGAGAGACGAGAGAUAAUGUGUGUGUAAGUGAGAGAAGGAACGCUACUAGUGGAAUAAAGAGGGAGAGAGAGACGACUCACGGUAGCACCAAGUAGCAUCAGAAGACUCCUUGAGCUCACUAUCCAUCGGGCUCUGCUUCAAGAACUAACGGCAAUAAGAGGAUUAUUCUUGUUUUUUCAUUUCCUUUUUUUAUAUUUUUCUCUUCAUCUGCCUCGUGAGCAACACUUUACUUUUGAGAGAUUUAAAGAGGUAUAAUACGUUUUUUUUUCUGGAAUAGAGAGUUUAAAAAAAAAUUAAAAAAAAACUUUCCAUUUCUUGAAACGUUUAAAGCCCCAGUUUAUUUUCAGAAUACUUUCCGAGACUCGCUCACUAUUUCCACGCGCUCUGGGAGCGGGACAAAUACUUGUCAAACUGAUUUUUUUUUUUUAAUCCAUUAUAUUUUUUUUUAAUUGACUUAUUUAAGGGCAAUUUCAAAUCAAACCAACAUGAGAUUUCAAAACGUUAAUUCAUCCGUUUCUCGUUGAAUUAUCUCCUUCAUUCAAGUCAUUGAAGGUGACGUUUUGAGGAGUUAUAAAUGCCUUUUAUUUCACCCUACUGAUUGAUAACUUUGAAACUGUGAGAGAGGGGAAGUCGUUUAGCGCAUCACCUGUUGAGCUUCCCACAGGCCUACACACUCAACUCAAAUUCAAGUCGAUCUAUUUCAACAACAUUUGCUCUAUCGCAACAUUUUUUUUUUUCCAUAGUUAUAUUUCAUAAUCAAUCAAUUAUAACCAAUCAAGUACAUAACAAUCGAUAUAUUGAAUUGAUCAUCAUCAGAGCAUUUCCAACUCCAUCCCUGUAACCCAACUUCUCCCAACGACAUCGUGGUGAGAUCAAGGGAUUUUUCUCCCACCACCCCAAUCACCAUCACUCAGACACCGACCCUUCCUCGCCAUGCUGUUCGAUAACUUUGACCUGGUUUCAGCCUUGGCCACGCUAGCGGCCUGCGCGGUGUCCAUGGCCCUCCUCCUAGUUGUGUCCCAGCAACUCUGGCAGCUCCGAUGGACAUCAACACGAGACAAAAACUGCAAGCUGCCGAUGCCUAAAGGUUCCAUGGGGUUCCCCAUCAUAGGAGAAACCUGCCACUGGCUCGUCCAGGGGUCGGCGUUCCACGCAUCACGGAGGCAGAAGUACGGCAACGUCUUCAAGACCCACCUGCUGGGACGCCCCCUGAUCCGGGUCACCGGUGCGGAGAAUGUCCGGAAGGUUCUAAUGGGAGAACACACGUUGGUCAGCGUGGACUGGCCUCAGAGCACCUCGACCCUACUGGGACCCAACUCACUGGCUAACUCUAUAGGAGAUAUACACCGCAAGAGACGAAAGGUCUUCUCCAAGGUGUUCAGUCAUGAGGCUCUUCAGUCCUACCUCCCUAAGAUCCAGCAGGUGAUCCAGGAGUCACUGAGGCUGUGGAGCUCCAACCCAGAACCCAUCAAUGUCUACAGGGAAUCCCAGAGGCUGUCGUUCCACAUGGCAGUGAGAGUACUGCUGGGGUUCAGAGUAGCAGACGAGGAGAUGAGACACCUGUUCACCACCUUCCAGGAGUUUAUAGACAACAUCUUCACUCUUCCGUUAGACCUGCCAUUCAGUGGAUACAGGAAGGGCAUCUGUGCCAGGGACACUCUCCAGAAGGGGAUAGAAAAGGCCAUCAGGGAGAAACCCCUCUGUUCCCAGGGGAAGGAUUAUAGCGACGCACUAGAUAUCCUACUGGAGAGCGCAAAAGAGAACGGCACCGAACUCACCAUGCAGGAACUCAAGGAGGCGACCAUUGAGCUGAUCUUCGCAGCGUUUGCCACCACGGCCAGUGCCUCCACCUCUCUCAUCAUGCAGCUCCUACGCCACCCUGCCGUGUUGGAGAAGUUACGAGAGGAGCUCCGGACCAGGGGGAUCCUCCACAACGGCUGUCUGUGCGAGGGGGAACUGGGUCUGGACACCAUCGUUAGUCUGAAGUAUCUGGACUGUGUGAUUAAGGAGGUGCUGAGGCUCUUCACGCCCGUGUCUGGGGGUUAUAGGACGGCCCUGCAGACCUUUGAACUAGAAGGGGUACAGAUCCCGAAGGGUUGGAGUGUGAUGUACAGCAUCAGAGACACACACGACACCUCCUCCGUCUUCAAGGACGUGGACGCCUUCGACCCCGACCGCUUCUCCCAGGAACGCUGCGAGGACAAGGAGGGACGCUUCCACUACCUCCCGUUCGGCGGCGGCAUCCGCUCCUGUCUCGGGAAACAGCUCGCCACUCUCUUCCUCCGUAUACUGGCCAUCGAGCUAGCCAGCACCAGCCGGUUUGAGUUGGCGACCCGGAAUUUUCCUAGAGUGGUGACGGUGCCGGUGGUUCAUCCGGUGGACGGGUUGAAGGUGAAGUUCUAUGGUCUGGAUUCUAACCAGAAUGAGAUUUCAUCCGAUCUCCUAGCCGACAUCAAGACGGAAGAGCUACCGGGAGCCGCGGUGUAGAUCGUUGAUCUGGAUUGGACGAAGCAAGGAGGAAAGAGGAAGGAGGAAGGGAGACGUGUGUCUGUCAGUCGGGCCUGAGGACUGGACUUCUUAUGGACACAACAAAGCUAAGUCGGAGAGAGAGGGAGAGUGUCGUUGACCUCUGUGGAAUGCCAUGGUGACAUUUUGACAUUGCUGCUCCUCUUUAUCAACACUAAAAUGCAAAAAAAAUAAAAAUACAAACUUUAUUAGCUAACUAGAUUAAA